This 551-nucleotide ribosomal RNA is filed under the name uncultured Candida. RNAcentral describes it as "SSU rRNA". It matches the Rfam family "Eukaryotic small subunit ribosomal RNA", at positions 20 to 575 of the family's 1831-position model. The record is from RNAcentral. Lineage: Eukaryota; Fungi; Ascomycota; Saccharomycetes; Saccharomycetales.
GUAGUCAUAUGCUUGUCUCAAAGAUUAAGCCAUGCAUGUCUAAGUAUAAGCAAUUUAUACAGUGAAACUGCGAAUGGCUCAUUAAAUCAGUUAUCGUUUAUUUGAUAGUUCCUUUACUACAUGGAUAACCGUGGUAAUUCUAGAGCUAAUACAUGCGUAAAGUCCCGACUUCUGGAAGGGAUGUAUUUAUUAGAUAAAAAAUCAAUGUCUUCGGACUCAAUGAUGAUUCAUAAUAACUUUUCGAAGCUCAUGGCUUUUUGCUGGAGCUGGUUCAUUCAAAUUUCUGCCCUAUCAACUUUCGAUGGUAGGAUAGUGGCCUACCAUGGUUUUCACGGGUAACGGGGAAUAAGGGUUCGAUUCCGGAGAGGGAGCCUGAGAAACGGCUACCACAUCCAAGGAAGGCAGCAGGCGCGCAAAUUACCCAAUCCUAAUUCAGGGAGGUAGUGACAAUAUAUAACAAUACAGGGCCCAUUUGGGUCUUGUAAUUGAAAUGAGUACAAUGUAAAUACCUUAACGAGGAACAAUGGAGGGCAAGUCUGGUGCCAGCAGCC